AUCAGUGCUGUAAUGAUAUCCUAGUGUCCUGAGCGCCAGACCAGAGGGUUCUCCACCACAUCUGGAAAGGGGUUUGCAAGUUCAGAGGAGGGAAAGGCAAAUCCAACAUGGAAGGUUAGAAAUGGCUUCCUGGUGGAUGGGCACUAGGGAUGGGAUGUUAACAGGUAAAGAGGAAGACAGGAGACGGUAACUGACAGCAGGAAUAGAUAUAGAGGGGCUGCUUGCUGAGUAGUGAUGGGAUAACUUAUGGAAGUAGAAAUCAAAAGGACUGAAGAAAUAGGGUAGGUCACAUUGUGAAGAGCUUCAGAGGGCACGCAUAGAGGGUCUGGGUGUGAAAGGGCAGUCUUCCUCUAGAACCAUGUAUGCCUGACACCAGUUUAAUAAAUUAUAGGACAAAAGUAGAGAAGAAGCUUAAUAAAUUAGGUUACUGGAGAGGUUAAUGAUGGAAGACAAUGGAGGCAUCGAUAGACCCAGUUUACCCUCUGCUUUUUAUCUCUUCCCCUCACAAAUGUUUUAGUGAGCCAAGUCCCUUUGACUUGCUUGAUGAAAGGAGGAUAACUAAACUUUGCCAGUGUCAGAAACUUUCCAAGUCUUGUGCUAUGAAAAACACAAAUACUCCUGAGAGGACUCCUAAUUUAAGCAUUAUCAAGCAUGAGCACCAUUUUUAACAUGAAGAAAAAUGUUUUGGAGUACACUUUGUUUAUAUAAAUUGUGUAGCUUAAAUUAGGAAAUGCCAUAUCUUCAACUACACAUAAUCAUUUUUUAAUUUCCUUAUAACUGAGAGUUUUCAUUCUUUUGGCUAAAAUUUCAGAAAUGACACCAUUGGUAGAUGAGGCAGAAUCUUAUCCUGAUGCAGAGACUUAUGAAUUCUGGGAGACCCAGAGGUUCUGUGGGAGUAGGGGAGGGAAUUGGCCCUAAAUACACACUCAGUUGCAGGACUAAAGGGCUUACUGUGGGGUUUCUGGCUUCUGGAGAAGCUCAAGAACAAGGGAGGUCCUUGAAAGGAACAGAUCUGAAGGGAUCUGGGAGGCUGCAGGAGAUGUAGGAGUCCAGAAGCCAACUACUGGUAUGAAACUAACCUUUCUCCACUUUCAAUGUAUAAAGAGGAAGGGAUCCUUUCCCUGGCUAUGGCCUAACACAGGUGACAAAAAGUAGGGCCUUUUCCACUGACUUUAUUUUACUUUCUUGUUCCAGAAAUUAGGUUAAUCUCUAAUGAGGGGCUGGUGGGUUGAUGCGACCCAUGGAAUUAUUUGGUAGGUGGCUGAAUGCCAGAAGGAGGCAUACAGAGGGCAAAGGAGGGGCUGGAAAUAGGGGGAAUUAAGAGCCCUGGAACGCCAAGGAGAGACUUACUCAGCUGUUUUACCUGAUCCCAUCUGGAUAGCUCAGAUUGGCUCAGAAAAACAGAGCCCAGCGCAAGACCCCAGGGAGUCAAUAAAUAGUAACUGCUGAGAAUAAAACUUCCAGUUAGGAGCAAGCCCCCCAAAAUCUGGCCAUAAGCUGGCCCCAAAACUAGCCAUAUACAAAAUCUCUGCAGCACUGUAACAUGUUCAUAAUGGCCCUAACACCCAAGCUGGAAGGUUGUAUGUUUACGGGAUGAGGGCAAGGAACACCCGGCCCGCCCAGGGUGGAAAACUGCUUAAAGACAUUCUUAAGCCACAAACAAUAGCGUGAGCAAUCUGUGUCUUAAGGACAUGCUCCUGCUGCAGUUAACUAGCCCAACCUAUUCCUUUGAUUUGGCCCAUCCCUUCGUUUCCCAUAGGGGAUACUUUUAGUUAAUUUAACAUCUAUAGAAACAAUGCUAAUGACUGGCUUGCUGUUAAUAAAUAUGUGGGUAAAUCUCUGUUCAGGGCUCUCAGCUCUGAAGGCUGUGAGACCCCUGAUUUCCCACUUCACACCUCUAUAUUUCUGUGUGUGUGUCUUUAAUUCCUCUAGCACCAUUGGGUUAGGGUCUCCCCAACUGAGCUGGUCUCGGCACCUUCCAAAAGACAGGGGACUUGGUAGAAUGGAAGAGCACAGACGUUGACUAUAGCUCACCUGACCUUGAGCCUGACAUAGCUGCUUAAGUUUUCCAAGUAUUGAACUUCAAAAUAGAAGAGCCAAGCAUGGUGGCUCACUCCUGUAAUCCCAGCACUUUGAGAGGCCAAGGCAGGCGGAUCACCUGAGUUUGGGAGUUCAAGACCAGUCUGGCCAACAUGGUGAAACCCUGUCUCUACUAAAAAUACAAAAAAUUAGCUGGGCGCUGUGGUGGGUUCCUGUAAU
This 2259-nucleotide long non-coding RNA is filed under the name Homo sapiens (human). Its description in RNAcentral is "HSALNT0320676". The record is from RNAcentral. Lineage: Eukaryota; Metazoa; Chordata; Mammalia; Primates; Hominidae.